ACCCCAUGCCAUUGAUUGAGGAUCUCAUUGACCGGUUACGAGGGUGUAAAUAUUUUACAUCCCUCGAUUUAAAAAGCGGAUAUCACCAAAUUGCUGUAAAUCCUGAAACAAUACCUAAAACAGCCUUUAUUACGCCCGAUGGUCAUUUUGAGUAUAUUAGAAUGCCCUUCGGGCUGAGCAAUGGACCUUCAGUCUUUCAAAGACUAAUGGAUACAGUGUUAGGAAAUAUGCGUUUUGGGAGGGUUAUAUGUUAUAUGGACGACUUGCUAAUAGCCACUGAAACAUUUGAACAAAAUGUAGCUUGUUUAGAGACUGUUCUAGAUAUAUUCCAAAAAAAUGGUCUGACCAUCAACUUGGAAAAAUGUUCGUUCUUCCAAAAGGAAGUAACAUUUUUGGGGUACGACAUUUCAGAUGAAGGUGUUCGCCCAAGUUCACGUAAAUUGAAAGCUAUUAAAGAUUAUCCUACCCCCAAAACAAUUCACCAACUUAGACAAUUUCUGGGACUCAUUAAUUAUUUCAGAAAAUUCAUAAAAAACUGUGCUGUAAUGUGCAAGCCCUUAACUAAUUUGUUAAAGAAGAAUGUAACCUGGCAAUGGGGUCCUCAACAAACACAGGCAGUAGAAGAUCUUAAAAAGGCCUUAAUUGAUGAUGCCGUUUUAAAUAUUUUUGACCCUAAUUUACCUAUCACUCUCUAUACAGACGCUAGUCGCGAUGGAAUAGGAUGUAUUUUAGUCCAAACCACUUCCAACGGGGAAAAACCUAUUUACUUUUAUAGCCGACAAACUACUAAUGAAGAAAAGAACUAUCAUUCUUUUGAAUUAGAGCUUUUAGCGAUUGUAGUGGGAUUACAGAAAUUCAGACAUUAUUUACUAGGAAAUCAAUUUAGAAUUGUAACCGAUUGCAAUGCUGUUCGUCAUACUUUAAACAAAAAAGAAAUCAUACCUCGGAUUAGCAGGUGGGUCUUACAAACUCAGGAAUUUACAUUUGAGAUAGUUCAUAGGGCUGGUACACAAAUGAAACAUGUGGACGCCUUGAGUCGGAACCCCGUACAAACUGAGCACUCCUUGUCUGUUCUGUCUAUUACAGAAAGUGAUUGGCUCUUAUCAGUCCAGUUACAGGAUCCUAACAUUUGCUGUAUUCGAGAUAUACUAUUAUCAGGCGAGGCCGAGUCUAAUAAAAAAAUAUUCAAUGAGUAUGAUUUAUUAGGCAAUAAGGUUUAUCGUAGGACUCAAUACGGAAGACGUUGGGUUGUACCUAAACAGUGUAUAUGGCAUGUCAUAAGAGCCAAUCAUGAUGACAUUGGGCAUUUUGCAGUUGAUAAGACUGUUGAGAGAAUCAAAGCACAGUACUGGUUUCCUCGACUUAAGAAAAUUGUUACAAAGUACAUUAAAAACUGUUUAAAUUGUAUUUACUACAAGGCUAUAAGUGAAAAAAAACCGGGACUGUUACAUCCAAUUCCAAAAUAUGCUAGACCUUUCCACACUUUACACCUUGACCAUUUAGGCCCUUUUGUUAAAACAACACAAAAUAAUGCUUAUCUUUUGGUAAUAGUAGAUUCUUUUACUAAAUUUGUGUUUAUUGUCGCUGUCAAAAAUACCAAAAGCAAAAUAGUUAUCAACGAAUUAAAUAAGAUUUUCAAAAUAUUCGGGAACCCUAAAAGACUGAUUUGUGAUGCCGGAAGCGCUUUUACAUCAAAAUUAUUUACUGGUUAUUGUAAUGAUCAUAAUAUUCGACGUCAUAUUAUUGCCACAGCCGUACCACGUUCGAACGGUCAAGUCGAACGAUAUAAUCGAACCAUUUUAGAUGCGUUACGGAGUCUUAGCGCAGAUGCAAAUAACAAUAAAUGGGAUCAACAUGUAACCCAAAUACAACAAGGUAUAAACAGUACAAUAAACAAAAGUACUGCAGCAGUACCUAGUGAAGUAUUUUUUGGAUACAGAAUUCGGAUGAUGAAUGAUAGAAUUGCUGAUGAGGAUAAUACAGAAAAAUCGGUUGACGUGACAGCCUUGCGUGACAAAGUAGAUCAAAACAUUAAAAGAGCUGCUCAAGUACAAAAAGCAGCUUUCGACUCUAAAAGGAAAUUGGCUACUAAUUAUAAUAUUGGAGACUUGGUUGUGAUUAAAAUACCAAGUCACUCAAAUGACGGUCACAGCACAAAGUUAAUGCCAUUGUUUAAAGGACCUUUCCAAAUAACAGAAGUCCUAGGGCAUGACCGUUAUAAAGUAUCCGAUAUGAGAGGAGCGGAGCGGAGUACAAAACGUUAUGAUGGCGUAACCUGCGCAGAGAAUAUGAAGUUUUGGAUACGCAUUUCGGAUGAGGGCGAGGAGGAAGUUGCACCGGAUGUUGUCCAGUAAUCAGCUUCCACAUUAGACCAAUACGAUGUCCGAGGACGGCCACGUAUGCAGGACGGCCGGAUGUUGUCGCCACAGUCGUUUCCGCCCGGAAGUACAAUUUGCCGCCGCUAGAGGGCGACACCGAGACGUCAUUCGAACAACGAGCGGCCACUCGAUCAUUCCUUGUCGAAGCGUCGAGCUAGUAACACUCACCUUGUCUUGCUGAAAGCUAUUAUUAUUUUUUAAAAAAAACGAAGUACAAUUAUUAUUUUAUAAGUGAUUUUUAUUUUAAAUUGGUAAUAUUGUAAAAGAGUAAAGUAUCAUUUCAAUUAUUAAUAAAUAUGAUUUCACUAUAGAAAAUUGAGCUAUAAUAAUUAUUACGAUGGUGAGAUUGUGUAGGUAAUGUAGCUAAAUAUUAAUAAAAGUGUUUUUGCAGAA
This is a long non-coding RNA of Ostrinia nubilalis (European corn borer), 2771 nucleotides long. RefSeq lists it as uncharacterized. The transcript is spliced from 2 exons. Lineage: Eukaryota; Metazoa; Arthropoda; Insecta; Lepidoptera; Crambidae. The record is from RefSeq and is a predicted model, not a curated record.